RNAcentral lists this transfer RNA (67 nucleotides) under Rodolia quadrimaculata. RNAcentral's name for it is "tRNA-Gln". Lineage: Eukaryota; Metazoa; Arthropoda; Insecta; Coleoptera; Coccinellidae. The record is from RNAcentral.
UAUAUUUUAGUAUAAAAGUACAAAAAUUUUUGAAAUUUUAGGAAAUAAUUUAUUUUAUUAAAUAUAA